GUCUGUGGCCACACCACCCUGAAUGCGCCAUCUCAGGAGUUAAGCAGGGUCAGACAGGUCAGUACUUGGAUGGGAGAGAUACAGGGUCCCAGACC
This 95-nucleotide ribosomal RNA is filed under the name Fukomys damarensis (Damara mole-rat). Lineage: Eukaryota; Metazoa; Chordata; Mammalia; Rodentia; Bathyergidae. The record is from RNAcentral.